UACGAAGGGGGCUAGCGUUGAUCGGAAUUACUGGGCGUAAAGCGCACGUAGGCGGCUUUCUAAGUCGGGGGUGAAAUCCUGGAGCUCAACUCCAGAACUGCCUUUGAUACUGAAGAUCUUGAGUUCGGGAGAGGUGAGUGGAACUGCGAGUGUAGAGGUGAAAUUCGUAGAUAUUCGGAAGAACACCAGUGGCGAAGGCGGCUCACUGGACUGGUAUUGACGCUGAGGUGCGAAAGCGUGGGGAGCAAACAGG
This 253-nucleotide ribosomal RNA is filed under the name uncultured bacterium. RNAcentral's name for it is "partial 16S ribosomal RNA". It matches the Rfam family "Bacterial small subunit ribosomal RNA", at positions 524 to 776 of the family's 1533-position model. The record is from RNAcentral.